Molecule: ribosomal RNA, 492 nt
Filed under: uncultured bacterium
Lineage: Bacteria
Description: partial 16S ribosomal RNA
Rfam family: Bacterial small subunit ribosomal RNA
Source: RNAcentral
AGUGAACGCUGGCGGUAGGCCUAACACAUGCAAGUCGAACGGCAGCACAGUAAGAGCUUGCUCUUACGGGUGGCGAGUGGCGGACGGGUGAGGAAUACAUCGGCAUCUACUUUUUCGUGGAGGAUAACGUAGGGAAACUUACGCUAAUACCGCAUACGACCUACGGGUGAAAGCAGGGGAACUUCGGACCUUGCGCGAUUGAAUGAGCCGAUGUCGGAUUGGCUAGUUGGCGGGGUAAAGGCCCACCAAGGCGACGAUCCGUAGCUGGUCUGAGAGGAUGAUCAGCCACACUGGAACUGAGACACGGUCCAGACUCCUACGGGAGGCAGCAGUGGGGAAUAUUGGACAAUGGGCGCAAGCCUGAUCCAGCCAUACCGCGUGGGUGAAGAAGGCCUUCGGGUUGUAAAGCCCUUUUGUUGGGAAAGAAAAGCAGCAGGUUAAUACCCCGCUGUUCUGACGGUACCCAAAGAAUAAGCACCGGCUAACUUCGUG